Molecule: long non-coding RNA, 1229 nt
Organism: Zonotrichia leucophrys gambelii
Lineage: Eukaryota; Metazoa; Chordata; Aves; Passeriformes; Passerellidae
Exons: 3
Source: RefSeq, a predicted model, not a curated record
AAUACAUUCAGCUUGAAAAUGAACCUGAGUAGCUCCAGCUGAGCUUUGCCACUGCAGUUACAGAAAAACUGGUGUACUCUUGCUGACUGAAUUCGUAGUGGAGUAGAAAAGAUCAAGGAGCAGAGAGGGCUGAAAACCCUGUCCUGCCAUCUCCCAUGGAACUGCAGCACUGCCACCCGUUCCCAGAGACUGAAGAGAGUUCUUCUUUGGGAAAAAUGCCUUCCUCUCCACUGGGAGUCGAAGAUGAAGUCCUCAGUGGAUCAAGUCCUUGGACAAAAAUUGUGAUGGUAUAAAUUGCUUGCAAUCCUGCAAUUAUUUUUAAGCAUAUAUAAUCUUACAUAUGCAUACUACAUAUAUAUUUCUUGCAUGUACAGAUGACAAGAGUUUAGAAACAAAGAAAUCAAUCUUCACUGUAAAGAGUCACUAUAACAUAUGAACAUUUCUAUAGCAAUUUAUUUUGCUUUGAGUAACAUAUGAAUGCUUCCUUAGAGUAGCCAUAUAAUUCUAAUGGCUCUUCUGAUGUUUGCAAAUUAUGCUAACAAUGAUCUUUUCUACAUGUAAACAUAAAACCUCACAAUUAUGUUAACACUGUGGUCAAUAUAGAGAAGGGAUUUCUAAUCCAUACAGGUUAUAAUUUAUUGCUUUUUUUCUGCCACUUUAUUGUACUUUCCUUUAAAUGAAGCAGCACUAAAAUUUGCUAAUUAUUUUUCUCACUGCAAUGUUUAUAGUGCCACCUUUUAAUUUUUGUCCAGAUUUCUUCAUACAAGCAAUGUUUCUGAAAAUGGUAUUCUUGCAACUUAAUAAAAAAGGUAUUACCUUAAUCAUAUGUAGUUUCUUCUGUGAAAUCAACAUGAAAGAAAAAUGUUUGAGGAGGUGACAGCUUUUAUAUUUUGUGUUUCCUUGGUCAGAGCUCCUGCUGCUGCAUAGCUCUCAAUGUAAAUGGUUUGCUAGAAAAACAGUGGUGCUGUUUUUCUUUGUAUUUUAUUUCAUUUGGAAUUGAUCAUGCCUCUGCUUUCAGAUUUACCAAGAUUAAAAGUACGUCUGAAUUAAUGUCAGCUUUAGAUAUCUAUUAUAAUGUCAGUAGCUUGAAAUCUAUUAUAUUAAUGUCGCAUAUAUCUAGUAAAGUAGAAACACAAGUCUAGGAAUAGGGAUUUUUAGAGAUCUGACCUGUUUUUUCUUCUUUGCUGUAACUUUCUGCCUGAUAAUAAACAAAUGUCUGCUGGUUCACA